AGGGGUAGGGUUAGAGUUAGGGUUAGGGUAGGGUUAGAGGUAGGGGUAGGGUGGAGUUAGGGGUAGGGUUAGGGUAGGGGUAGGGUUAGAUUAGGGUAGGGUUAGGCAUAGGGUUAGGAAUAGGGUUAGGGUUACUCUACCCCUACCCUCACCCUACUCCAACCACUAACCCUACCCCAACUCUUAACCCUGCCCCAACCACUACCCCUACCCCUAACGCUACUCCAACCACUAAUCCUACCCCAACCCUUAACCCUACCCCUAACCCUAACCCUACUCCAACCACUAACCCUAUCCCAACCACUAACCCUACCCCAACCCCUAACCCCAACCCUCUCCUGUUUUUGCCACUUUUCAGAA
This is a non-coding RNA of Pelobates cultripes (western spadefoot toad), 360 nucleotides long. The record is from the annotation of a GenBank genome assembly. NCBI's taxonomy places the organism in Eukaryota, Metazoa, Chordata, Amphibia, Anura, Pelobatidae.